UACGUAGGGGGCGAGCGUUGUCCGGAUUCAUUGGGCGUAAAGCGCAUGUAGGCGGCAGCGCAAGUCGGGCGUGAAAUCCCACGGCUCAACCGUGGAAGUGCACUCGAAACUGCGCAGCUAGAGUCCUGGAGAGGAAGGUGGAAUGCUUGGUGUAGAGGUGAAAUUCGUAGAUAUCAAGCGGAACACCGGUGGCGAAGGCGGCCUUCUGGACAGUGACUGACGCUGAGAUGCGAAAGCGUGGGGAGCAAACAGG
This 253-nucleotide ribosomal RNA is filed under the name uncultured bacterium. RNAcentral describes it as "partial 16S ribosomal RNA". It matches the Rfam family "Bacterial small subunit ribosomal RNA", at positions 524 to 776 of the family's 1533-position model. The record is from RNAcentral.